Unclassified non-coding RNA from Cercocebus atys (sooty mangabey), 107 nucleotides. It matches the Rfam family "Y RNA". Rfam says of the family: Y RNAs are components of the Ro ribonucleoprotein particle (Ro RNP), in association with Ro60 and La proteins. The Y RNAs and Ro60 and La proteins are well conserved, but the function of the Ro RNP is not known. The record is from Ensembl. NCBI's taxonomy places the organism in Eukaryota, Metazoa, Chordata, Mammalia, Primates, Cercopithecidae.
GGCUGGUCGGAAGGUAGUGAGUUAUCUCAAUUGAUUGUUCACAGUCACAGAUCAAACUCCUUGUUCUAUUCCCCCCACUUCUCACUGCUGCGCUUGACUAGUGUGAA